UUAGAUGAAAGAUGGUUCUGCUAUCGCUUUUAGAUGGACCCGCGGCGUAUUAACUAGUUGGUGGGGUAACGGCCUACCAAGGUGAUGAUACGUAGCCGAACUGAGAGGUUGAUCGGCCACAUUGGGACUGAGACACGGCCCAAACUCCUACGGGAGGCAGCAGUAGGGAAUCUUCCACAAUGGACGCAAGUCUGAUGGAGCAACGCCGCGUGAGUGAAGAAGGUCUUCGGAUCGUAAAACUCUGUUGUUAGAGAAGAACACGAGUGAGAGUAACUGUUCAUUCGAUGACGGUAUCUAACCAGCAAGUCACGGCUAACUACGUGCCAGCAGCCGCGGUAAUACGUAGGUGGCAAGCGUUGUCCGGAUUUAUUGGGCGUAAAGGGAACGCAGGCGGUCUUUUAAGUCUGAUGUGAAAGCCUUCGGCUUAACCGGAGUAGUGCAUUGGAAACUGGAAGACUUGAGUGCAGAAGAGGAGAGUGGAACUCCAUGUGUAGCGGUGAAAUGCGUAGAUAUAUGGAAGAACACCAGUGGCGAAAGCGGCUCUCUGGUCUGUAACUGACGCUGAGGUUCGAAAGCGUGGGUAGCAAACAGGAUUAGAUACCCUGGUAGUCCACGCCGUAAACGAUGAAUGCUAGGUGUUGGAGGGUUUCC
This 651-nucleotide ribosomal RNA is filed under the name Ligilactobacillus salivarius. RNAcentral describes it as "bacterial SSU rRNA". It matches the Rfam family "Bacterial small subunit ribosomal RNA", at positions 196 to 835 of the family's 1533-position model. Lineage: Bacteria; Bacillati; Bacillota; Bacilli; Lactobacillales; Lactobacillaceae. The record is from RNAcentral.